CAGCAGCCGCGGUAAUACGAAGGGGGCUAGCGUUGUUCGGAAUUACUGGGCGUAAAGCGCACGUAGGCGGAUAUUUAAGUCAGGGGUGAAAUCCCGCAGCUCAACUGCGGAACUGCCUUUGAUACUGGGUAUCUUGAGUAUGGAAGAGGUAAGUGGAAUUGCGAGUGUAGAGGUGAAAUUCGUAGAUAUUCGCAGGAACACCAGUGGCGAAGGCGGCUUACUGGUCCAUAACUGACGCUGAGGUGCGAAAGCGUGGGGAGCAAACAGGAUUAGAUACCCCCGUAGUCCCUGUCUCUUAUAC
Molecule: ribosomal RNA, 301 nt
Filed under: uncultured bacterium
Lineage: Bacteria
Description: partial 16S ribosomal RNA
Rfam family: Bacterial small subunit ribosomal RNA
Source: RNAcentral